GGUGCAAGCGUUAAUCGGAAUUACUGGGCGUAAAGGGUUUGUAGGUGGCUUGCUAAGUCAGACGUGAAAUCCCUCAGCUUAACUGGGGAACUGCGUCUGAUACUGGCAAGCUUGAGUGCAGGAGAGGAACGCGGAAUUCCAGGUGUAGCGGUGAAAUGCGUAGAUAUCUGGAGGAACACCGGUGGCGAAGGCGGCGUUCUGGACUGCAACUGACACUGAGAGACGAAAGCCAGGGGAGCAAACGGG
This 246-nucleotide ribosomal RNA is filed under the name uncultured bacterium. RNAcentral describes it as "partial 16S ribosomal RNA". It matches the Rfam family "Bacterial small subunit ribosomal RNA", at positions 531 to 776 of the family's 1533-position model. The record is from RNAcentral.